UAGGGAAUCUUCGGCAAUGGACGAAAGUCUGACCGAGCAACGCCGCGUGAGUGAAGAAGGUUUUCGGAUCGUAAAACUCUGUUGUUAGAGAAGAACAAGGACGUUAGUAACUGAACGUCCCCUGACGGUAUCUAACCAGAAAGCCACGGCUAACUACGUGCCAGCAGCCGCGGUAAUACGUAGGUGGCAAGCGUUGUCCGGAUUUAUUGGGCGUAAAGCGAGCGCAGGCGGUUUCUUAAGUCUGAUGUGAAAGCCCCCGGCUCAACCGGGGAGGGUCAUUGGAAACUGGGAGACUAGAGUGCAGAAGAGGAGAGUGGAAUUCCAUGUGUAGCGGUGAAAUGCGUAGAUAUAUGGAGGAACACCAGUGGCGAAGGCGGCUCUCUGGUCUGUAACUGACGCUGGGGCUCGAAAGCGUGGGGAGCAAACAGG
RNAcentral lists this ribosomal RNA (429 nucleotides) under Gemmatimonadota bacterium. RNAcentral's name for it is "Gemmatimonadetes bacterium partial 16S ribosomal RNA". It matches the Rfam family "Bacterial small subunit ribosomal RNA", at positions 355 to 776 of the family's 1533-position model. The record is from RNAcentral. Lineage: Bacteria; Pseudomonadati; Gemmatimonadota.